UUCCGGGGUGAGUGGUUUGUGGUGCCUGGAGCUGGGCGCGGAGGACGUGGUGGCUCGAGUUCCGGCGCCGUCGCGGCUCAUUUCUUGCUGCCGCCAUGCUCGACUUCUUCACCAUUUUCUCCAACGGCGGACUUGUGCUCUGGUGCGUCCAGGGUGUGAGUUUCUCUUGCACCGUGCCGUUAACGCGUUGAUUCGUUCCGUGCUGCUGCAGUGAAGUAGAGGAGAGCCGUAAGAUCUGUGCUCCCACUACCAUGAAGAAAUUUGAGAAUUCCGAAAAGGCCAAGAAACCGUUGAGAACCAUGAUUGAAAUAAGGGUUGGGGAGAAGCCCAGAGAAAAAGCAAAGAACAGCAAAAAAGGCAGGGGAGUGGCAAGAAGGAAGAAACCUAACAGGUUCUGA
Molecule: long non-coding RNA, 398 nt
Filed under: Castor canadensis (American beaver)
Lineage: Eukaryota; Metazoa; Chordata; Mammalia; Rodentia; Castoridae
Description: lncRNA (ENSCCNG00000024821.1)
Source: RNAcentral